Molecule: ribosomal RNA, 253 nt
Filed under: uncultured bacterium
Lineage: Bacteria
Description: partial 16S ribosomal RNA
Rfam family: Bacterial small subunit ribosomal RNA
Source: RNAcentral
UACGAAGGGGGCUAGCGUUGCUCGGAAUCACUGGGCGUAAAGCGCACGUAGGCGGAUUGUUAAGUCAGGGGUGAAAUCCUGGAGCUCAACUCCAGAACUGCCUUUGAUACUGGCGAUCUCGAGUCCGGGAGAGGUGAGUGGAACUGCGAGAGUAGAGGUGAAAUUCGUAGAUAUUCGCAAGAACACCAGUGGCGAAGGCGGCUCACUGGCCCGGUACUGACGCUGAGGUGCGAAAGCGUGGGGAGCAAACAGG